GCCCGCCUAGCUCAAUCGGAUAGAGCAUCAGACUCUUAUGUUAAGUAUAUGAGGGCAAGUGAAAUCUGAAGGCUGCGAGUUUGACCCUCGCGGUGGGCU
Rhodocollybia butyracea is the source of this 99-nucleotide non-coding RNA. Lineage: Eukaryota; Fungi; Basidiomycota; Agaricomycetes; Agaricales; Omphalotaceae. The record is from the annotation of a GenBank genome assembly.